RNAcentral lists this ribosomal RNA (550 nucleotides) under Synageles noxiosus. RNAcentral describes it as "eukaryotic LSU rRNA". The stretch from base 379 to 550 matches the Rfam family "Eukaryotic large subunit ribosomal RNA", at positions 665 to 806 of the family's 3401-position model. The record is from RNAcentral. Lineage: Eukaryota; Metazoa; Arthropoda; Arachnida; Araneae; Salticidae.
GGAGGCAUCUCUCGUUCCAGACGCAUUUGUCUCUCGUCCGAAGGACGCUGCAGCCGGUCUGGCAGUGCAAGCGCGACGGCCUGAAGGGCGGGAACAGGCAGGUGGCCGGUGGCGCGUCUCGUGYGUGCUAUCGGUUGUUAGCCAUCCCGUCGGUGGCACGUCGCCAGACCGUGGUGUCGCGAGUCCCCUUYYGGGGACUCCUCGUCUCCACCCCGCAGUUGCGGGACUGAUCGUGGCARGUGCAGUUCGCACUGACCGUCGCACUCCGCAGGAGUGGACGGACGGGCGGAACGUCCCGUUGGCCGCGACGGACCCGUCGGGGACCGGAGGCUKGCAGCGAGUAGRUCGGUCACCCACCCGACCCGUCUUGAAACACGGACCAAGGAGUCUAACAUGUGCGCGAGUCAUUGGGUCUUGAACAGGCCCAGGGGCGCAAUGAAAGCGAAGGCCUGCCUAGCGCAGGCUCAGUCGGGAUCCCGCCUCUCACGGGGUGGGCGCACCGACGACACGUCCUAUCCGGCUCGCCGGUUGGGCGUAGUCUGAGCGUACA